Molecule: ribosomal RNA, 386 nt
Filed under: uncultured bacterium
Lineage: Bacteria
Description: bacterial SSU rRNA
Rfam family: Bacterial small subunit ribosomal RNA
Source: RNAcentral
AUUGAACGCUGGCGGCAUGCCUUACACAUGCAAGUCGAACGGUAACGGGUCCUUCGGGAUGCCGACGAGUGGCGAACGGGUGAGUAAUAUAUCGGAACGUGCCCAGUAGUGGGGGAUAACUGCUCGAAAGAGCAGCUAAUACCGCAUACGACCCGAGGGUGAAAGGGGGGGAUCGCAAGACCUCUCGCUAUUGGAGCGGCCGAUAUCAGAUUAGCUAGUUGGUGGGGUAAAGGCCUACCAAGGCUACGAUCUGUAGUUGGUCUGAGAGGACGACCAGCCACACUGGGACUGAGACACGGCCCAGACUCCUACGGGAGGCAGCAGUGGGGAAUUUUGGACAAUGGGCGCAAGCCUGAUCCAGCAAUGCCGCGUGCAGGAAGAAGGCC